This 79-nucleotide transfer RNA is filed under the name Dentipellis sp. KUC8613. It matches the Rfam family "tRNA". Rfam says of the family: Transfer RNA (tRNA) molecules are approximately 80 nucleotides in length. Their secondary structure includes four short double-helical elements and three loops (D, anti-codon, and T loops). The record is from Rfam by way of RNAcentral. Lineage: Eukaryota; Fungi; Basidiomycota; Agaricomycetes; Russulales; Hericiaceae.
UCGGAUAUGGUGUAAUGGCUAACAUUACCGCCUCUCAAGUGUUACGCGGUAGCUCGGGGUUCGAUUCCCCGUAUCCGAA